UCUCUUUCACAUUCUGCGAUUCGGCACUAUAUGAACCCUGCCGGCUUGCCGGCUAUGGUGAUAAACGGUGCGUGGAAUAAACGUUGUGGACCCGGGGGCGGUACCCGGCGCCUCCAUAUCUGCGGGGGCGAAAUAGAUUCGACACGCGUGGUAAAGACCCAUCUUUUGCCCGGCAUUGUACCGCCGUUAUCGGGCUAAUUUUUAAAUGCGAACGAUAACAACGUAGCAUUCGCUGUCGCUGCCUAAUUAGCAGCUAAG
This 258-nucleotide transfer-messenger RNA is filed under the name Rhodospirillales bacterium. RNAcentral's name for it is "partial transfer-messenger RNA". It matches the Rfam family "Alphaproteobacteria transfer-messenger RNA", at positions 1 to 282 of the family's 355-position model. Rfam says of the family: Bacterial tmRNA, also known as 10Sa RNA or SsrA, is named for its dual tRNA and mRNA-like properties. Its role is to liberate the mRNA from a stalled ribosome. The record is from RNAcentral. Lineage: Bacteria; Pseudomonadati; Pseudomonadota; Alphaproteobacteria; Rhodospirillales.